Ailuropoda melanoleuca (giant panda) is the source of this 1850-nucleotide long non-coding RNA. RefSeq lists it as uncharacterized. The record is from RefSeq and is a predicted model, not a curated record. The transcript is spliced from 3 exons. Lineage: Eukaryota; Metazoa; Chordata; Mammalia; Carnivora; Ursidae.
CGACUCCUUGCUGAGUGCAGAGCUUGACUCAGGGCUCGAUCUCCUGACCCUGCUAUCAUGACCUGAGCCGAAAUGCAAAGUCGGAUGCUUAACUGACUGUGCCACCCAGGCACCCCAUUCAUUUGUAUGCUUUUUCAUCAUAGCUAUGACCAUGCACACCCCCUGCACUGGGGGUUAUACGUACAUCCACCAUUCGAGACCCAUUCCGGCCAGGGAUAGGUGCUAGAAAGGGAAUUCUUGACUCUUCACUCUCAUGCUUCAGUUUUGUUUCUGGGGCCUGCUGUCUUGAGAUACAAGCUCUUAAGCUUGUAUUGCCCGGAUUCUCACCUGGCCUUCUGACCCUGUGUGGAUGGACUCUUUGUCUGGGCUUCUGACCGCAGCACCUAGUCUUCUAGCUUGGGUUUCUGAUCUCUUUGGCCCGAGCCUUGUCAGCUCUGGAUCAGAUGCUGGCCUAGAUUUAUCACACAAUGCCUUCUGCUCUUCGUGCCUGACUUAUCCUCUGGUAGACUUGUCUGCCAGCGCCGCCCAGCUUCCUUAUCGUAGUCCAGCUCUUUCCUUUCCCGGGCUUGCCCUUGUCUUAGCCACCUCAUCUGGCCCUACACUAUGUGAAUGACAUGAGCGAUGAGGGAUGUUGGAUGCGUGCCAUGUAGGUGUCAGCUUGGCCAUUAGUUUUUAUGAACAUGUUUAAAAUAAUGAACAUUUUUUGCCUUGGUCAUUUGUAGAAGCAGAACAGAGUGAUGAACAGCUUCAUCAAGAAAUAUCACAGGCUAACGUCAUCUGCAUAGUUUAUGCCGUUAACAACAAGCAUUCUAUUGAUAAGGUAACAAGUCGAUGGAUUCCUCUCAUAAAUGAAAGAACGGACAAAGACAGCAGGUAUUUUUUUCUUUUCUCUGAAACUUUGUAUAUUGAAAAUUUCAAACUUAAAGAAAAGUUGCAAGAAAUAGUACAAUGAACACCUGUAAGUCCUUCACUUACAUCCACUGGUUAACCUUUGCCACAUUUGCUUUACCUAUAGGUCUUUGUUUAUAUACACACAUCGGUUUUGGGAGGAAUUAUUUUAGGCAGCACAUAUAUUUGUGAGCAAAGCAGAAAACAGUACCAGAACUAUAAUGAUUGACAACUUCUGACAUGAAAUAUUUUGAUCAUUAAUCUUACAUAAUUUCUCAAACCACUGCUAAAGGAGUCUCCACUUUAGAAGUCCUCUUCAUCUGUAUUGUAUGUGCCUUCUCUGUGGAGGUGCCCCUUGCAUGAGGAACGACUUCCCCUUGUCACUGAUUGCUCACAGGUUGUGUGUAUGGGGCACAGGACUGGGAGGAGAGUGAGUGCCCUCUGACAUCUGGCUUAUCCGCUUGACUUCCUUGAGCCUUCCUUCCUUUCUGUAGUGGAGAAGAGACUAAUUCCUGUCUUGACUGCCUGUGGUAAUUUUGAGGAUCCACUGAAAUAAUGCACUUGUACUGCUUUAUAAGUUCUCUGAAGACUGCUAGAGAUCUUUAUUUAGGAAUGCAGAGAGGGAGAUUUCUUCGAAAUUCUUUGGAAGAUACACAUGUGAUAGGAAGAAGAGAACACACCUUCUGUAUUUUUCAUAUGAACGGAAUGAUAGUUCUGGGUAUAAGUGUUUUCAGUUUUAAGUCAAAAUGGAAACCAAAAAUUAUUCUUGCAGUAUUAUUUAAUGGAACAUGGCAUUUAUGAGGCAUUUUUAAAUGUUAGGGAAAUCAGACUAAUGUCUGUGUAUUGUACACAUCUGGCCCUUUAUUUACUUUUUUCAGAUUUCUCUGUUGGUUGGACAUUUUUGUGCCUUGAAACUGUAAAGACUUGGUUCUGAACAGUUGGACGUGGUAUUGGCCCCGCCU